This 253-nucleotide ribosomal RNA is filed under the name uncultured bacterium. Its description in RNAcentral is "partial 16S ribosomal RNA". It matches the Rfam family "Bacterial small subunit ribosomal RNA", at positions 524 to 776 of the family's 1533-position model. The record is from RNAcentral.
UACGAAGGGUGCAAGCGUUACUCGGAAUUACUGGGCGUAAAGCGUGCGUAGGCGGUUUGUUAAGUCCGUUGUGAAAGCCCUGGGCUCAACCUGGGAAUUGCAGUGGAUACUGGCGAGCUAGAGUGCGGUAGAGGAUGGUGGAAUUCCCGGUGUAGCGGUGAAAUGCGUAGAGAUCGGGAGGAACACCGGUGGCGAAAGCGGCGCGCUGGAUCUCUUCUGACGCUGAGGCGCGAAAGCCAGGGGAGCAAGCGGG